AGAGACAGCAGCCGCCGCGGGAAUACGAAGGGGGCUAGCGUUGUUCGGAAUUACUGGGCGUAAAGCGCACGUAGGCGGACAUUUAAGUCAGGGGUGAAAUCCCGGGGCUCAACCCCGGAACUGCCUUUGAUACUGGGUGUCUAGAGUAUGGAAGAGGUGAGUGGAAUUCCGAGUGUAGAGGUGAAAUUCGUAGAUAUUCGGAGGAACACCAGUGGCGAAGGCGGCUCACUGGUCCAUUACUGACGCUGAGGUGCGAAAGCGUGGGGAGCAAACAGGAUUAGAUACCCCAGUAGUCCCUGUCUCUUAUAC
RNAcentral lists this ribosomal RNA (309 nucleotides) under uncultured bacterium. RNAcentral's name for it is "partial 16S ribosomal RNA". It matches the Rfam family "Bacterial small subunit ribosomal RNA", at positions 504 to 807 of the family's 1533-position model. The record is from RNAcentral.